This 459-nucleotide ribosomal RNA is filed under the name uncultured bacterium. RNAcentral describes it as "partial 16S ribosomal RNA". It matches the Rfam family "Bacterial small subunit ribosomal RNA", at positions 29 to 523 of the family's 1533-position model. The record is from RNAcentral.
AACGAACGCUGGCGGCAGGCCUAACACAUGCAAGUCGAACGUGAAGCCACCUUCGGGUGGUGGAAAGUGGCAGACGGGUGAGUAACGCGUGGGAACGUGCCUUUCGGUUCGGGAUAACCCAGGGAAACUUGGGCUAAUACCGGAUACGCCCUCCGGGGGAAAGAUUCAUUGCCGAAAGAUCGGCCCGCGUCGGAUUAGCUAGUUGGUGGGGUAAAAGCCUACCAAGGCGACGAUCCGUAGCUGGUCUGCGAGGAUGACCAGCCACACUGGGACUGGGACCCGGCCCAGACUCCUACGGGAGGCAGCAGGGGGGAAUAUGGGACAAUGGGCGCAAGCCUGAUCCAGCCAGGCCGCGUGGGUGAAGAAGGCCUUAGGGUUGAAACCCCCUUUCAGCGGGGAAGAUAAUGACGGUACCCGCAGAAGAAGCCCCGGCUAACUCCGUGCCAGCCGCCGCCGUAA